Molecule: transfer RNA, 67 nt
Filed under: Asphondylia rosetta
Lineage: Eukaryota; Metazoa; Arthropoda; Insecta; Diptera; Cecidomyiidae
Description: tRNA-Thr
Source: RNAcentral
AUAAAUUAAUUUAAUUAAAAAUAAUAAUUUUGUAAAUUAUAUUUAAUAUACAAAUUAUUUAUUUAUA